GGGGCUGACCGGUUUUGACAGGAUGCGUGAGGGUGUAAGCAAGCAUGCAGGCUCAUGGGAUGAGAGCCUUGAAAGAUAGUCCUACAAUUUACGUGGCGAAACAACUUACGCCAUGGCUGCUUAAUCUGACGAUACGUUAGGUUAGCUUGUUCCGCUUAAGAAGCGGGAGGCCAUCAUCGCCCACACCUCUGUUUGGCGGGUGUGGAACCGCGGUGUCGAUAGCAUAAACUGGACUGGCUUGUGUUGCGCAGGCCGGUUGAGACAACAGCGACUAAGGGAUCUUUUAGGCCGUUGCCUGCCUUGGGGUUCACGAAAAUUAAAGUCAACUAAGCAUGUAGAAGGUGCACGUUCAUCUUCUCUGGACCAGGGUUCGAUUCCCUGCAGCUCCACCA
Molecule: transfer-messenger RNA, 392 nt
Filed under: Cyclobacteriaceae
Lineage: Bacteria; Pseudomonadati; Bacteroidota; Cytophagia; Cytophagales
Also listed under: 3 other names
Description: ELB16-189 sp018267275 Standard tmRNA
Rfam family: transfer-messenger RNA
About the family: Bacterial tmRNA, also known as 10Sa RNA or SsrA, is named for its dual tRNA and mRNA-like properties.
Source: RNAcentral